This 1000-nucleotide long non-coding RNA is filed under the name Vigna radiata. RNAcentral's name for it is "long non-coding RNA (VRAD_LNC010473)". Lineage: Eukaryota; Viridiplantae; Streptophyta; Magnoliopsida; Fabales; Fabaceae. The record is from RNAcentral.
AUAUAUAUAUAUAUNAAGUUUGUUAAUGUGCGGAUGCUUGUUUUUCAGUUGGUAGGUUUUAACAAGUUUUAAGAUCAAUGACGCUUAAAUAAUUUUCACCUUUCUCCUUUCUCUCAAUCCUUUUCUAUUUCAUCUCUCUCACUCCAACAUUUUCUUCUUUGUCAUCUUUACUGUUGUUCCAAUUGAAAAAAUAAAAUAAAAUCAGAGACCCUUGCUUAACUCUAAUUUACCUUUCUCACUUAUCCAAUUUGUUUCUCUCUCAUCUCCAUACUCUCCUUCAGCCAUACACAACAACCCGCGACACCGUAAUUUGUUGCUCUUGCUCUGUUCGUUCAUUUGGAGGAUGUGUUAUAUAUUUUUCCUUCUUAUUAUUAUUAAAUUUCAUUUUUAAAUUAAAUCAUGUAAAUAAAACCUUCAUAAAUCAAUUAAAUUUUCAUAUAUCAUUUAUAAAUCUACAUCAUAUCUCAUUAUAUUUUUAAAGAACAAGAUAUUUUCCCUAUUGUCCUUUUCCCUUUACACAAAGUGUUUCUUUUUCCUUUCUCUUUUGGUAUGGUAUACAUUAUAUAAGAUUACAACAUAGAAUUAAGAAUUGUACUCCUAGGGAGCUCUUAUAUACCUAUUUCUUUAAUUUUCUUAUAUCCUUUUUUAUCACUGAAUCAACUUCUGCAGGCAUUUAGAAUAAAUUUUAACCACUGUGCAAGAUAAAAAACUGUAAGGUUUCUGAUUUUUUUUUCAAUUGGGCAACAAUAGAGAUGACAGAGAGAAAAUGUUAGAGUGAGAGAGAUGAAAGAGAAAGGAUUGAGAGGAAUGAGGGAGGUGAGUAAGGGUUUGGAGUUUUUUUUAGUUUUGAGAAUGAAAAUUAUUUAAAUACCCUUCACCUUAAAACUUAGGAUCCAUGAUAUAUGAUGGUAUUUUUGUCUACUAUAAUCCGAUACACAUUGUUAAAACGUACCAACUGAAAAACAAGCGUAAGCCCGUUAACAAAACCCAUAUAUAUAUA